Molecule: ribosomal RNA, 497 nt
Filed under: uncultured bacterium
Lineage: Bacteria
Description: partial 16S ribosomal RNA
Rfam family: Bacterial small subunit ribosomal RNA
Source: RNAcentral
GAUGAACGCUGGCGGCGUGCCUAAUACAUGCAAGUCGAGCGAACGGACGAGAAGCUUGCUUCUCUGAUGUUAGCGGCGGACGGGUGAGUAACACGUGGAUAACCUACCUAUAAGACUGGGAUAACUUCGGGAAACCGGAGCUAAUACCGGAUGAUAUUUUGAACCGCAUGGUUCAAAAGUGAAAGACGGUCUUGCUGUCACUUAUAGAUGGAUCCGCGCUGCAUUAGCUAGUUGGUAAGGUAACGGCUUACCAAGGCAACGAUGCAUAGACGAACUGAGAGGGUGGUCGGCCACACUGGAACGGAGACACGGUCCAGACUCCUACGGGACGCAGCAGUAGGGUACCUGCCGCAGUAGGCGAGAGCCUGACGGAGCAACGCCGCGUGAGUGAUGACGGUCUUCGGAGCGUGAUACUCUGUUAUUAGGGAAGAACAUAUGUGUAAGUUACUGUGCACAGCGUGACGGUACCUAGUCAGAAAGCCACGGCUAACUACGUG